AACAACACAAAAAGUGCCCUCUC
RNAcentral lists this non-coding RNA (23 nucleotides) under Arabidopsis thaliana (thale cress). Lineage: Eukaryota; Viridiplantae; Streptophyta; Magnoliopsida; Brassicales; Brassicaceae. The record is from RNAcentral.